This 206-nucleotide ribosomal RNA is filed under the name uncultured bacterium. RNAcentral describes it as "partial 16S ribosomal RNA". It matches the Rfam family "Bacterial small subunit ribosomal RNA", at positions 568 to 774 of the family's 1533-position model. The record is from RNAcentral.
CAUGCAGGCGGUUCAUCAAGUAGGAUGUGAAAUCCCCGGGCUCAACCUGGGAACAGAUACUAAACUGGUGGACUAGAGUAUUGCAGGGGGAGACGGAAUUCCAGGUGUAGCGGUGGAAUGCGUAGAUAUCUGGAAGAACACCAAAGGCGAAGGCAGUCUCCUGGGCAAAUACUGACGCUCAUAUGCGAAAGCGUGGGUAGCAAACA